Choloepus didactylus (southern two-toed sloth) is the source of this 140-nucleotide small nucleolar RNA. RefSeq annotates it as small nucleolar RNA SNORA46. The record is from RefSeq and is a predicted model, not a curated record. The transcript has a single exon. NCBI's taxonomy places the organism in Eukaryota, Metazoa, Chordata, Mammalia, Pilosa, Megalonychidae.
AGCACUAUAUUUAAACCUAUGGAUGGGAAUUUUCCCCAUUCUUGGUUACGCUGUAGUGCAAAAGAAUUCCUUGGCUCUUAUCCCUUGCACAGCUGACUAUGUGACAUUCUGCUGUUGCUCUUUGGAGUUAAGGAACACCA